This 793-nucleotide ribosomal RNA is filed under the name uncultured archaeon. Its description in RNAcentral is "bacterial SSU rRNA". It matches the Rfam family "Archaeal small subunit ribosomal RNA", at positions 85 to 879 of the family's 1478-position model. The record is from RNAcentral.
ACUGCUCAGUAACACGUGGACAACCUGCCCUUAGGUUGGGUAUAAACCCGGGAAACUGGGUAUAAUACCCGAUAGGUCUCGAUUGCUGGAAUGCAUCGAGAUUUAAAGCUCCGGCGCCUAAGGAUGGGUCUGCGGCCUAUCAGGUAGUAGUGGGUGUAGCGUACCUACUAGCCUAUGACGGGUACGGGUUGUGAGAGCAAGAGCCCGGAGAUGGAUUCUGAGACACGAAUCCAGGCCCUACGGGGUGCAGCAGGCGCGAAAACUUUACAAUGCUGGCAACAGCGAUAAGGGAACCUCGAGUGCCAGGUUACAAAUCUGGCUGUCGAGAUGCCUAAAAAGCAUUUCAUAGCAAGGGCCGGGCAAGACCGGUGCCAGCCGCCGCGGUAACACCGGCGGCUCGAGUGGUAACCGUUAUUAUUGGGUCUAAAGGGUCUGUAGCCGGCCGGAUAAGUCUCUUGAGAAAUCUGGCAGCUUAACUGUCAGGCUUUCAGGAGAUACUGUCUGGCUCGAGGCCGGGAGAGGUGAGAGGUACUUCAGGGGUAGGGGUGAAAUCUUGUAAUCCUUGAAGGACCACCAGUGGCGAAGGCGUCUCACCAGAACGGACCUGACGGCAAGGGACGAAAGCUAGGGGCACGAACCGGAUUAGAUACCCGGGUAGUCCUAGCCGUAAACGAUACUCGCUAGGUGUCGGCCACGGUGCGACCGUUGUCGGUGCCGUAGGGAAGCCGUGAAGCGAGCCACCUGGGAAGUACGGCCGUAAGGCUGAAACUUAAAGGAAUUGGCGGGGGAGCAC